RNAcentral lists this ribosomal RNA (352 nucleotides) under uncultured bacterium. Its description in RNAcentral is "bacterial SSU rRNA". It matches the Rfam family "Bacterial small subunit ribosomal RNA", at positions 917 to 1269 of the family's 1533-position model. The record is from RNAcentral.
GGGCCCGCACAAGCGGUGGAGCAUGUGGUUUAAUUCGAUGAUACGCGAGGAACCUUACCAGGGCUUAAAUGUAGUAUGACCGGUCUAGAAAUAGGCCUUCCCUUUGGGCGGAGAUACAAGGUUGCUGCAUGGUUGUCGUCAGCUCGUGCCGUGAGGUGUUAGGUUAAGUCCUGCAACGAGCGCAACCCCUAUUCUUAGUUGCCAGCGGUUCGGCCGGGGACUCUAAGAAGACUGCCAGCGCAAGCUGAGAGGAAGGUGGGGAUGACGUCAAAUCAUCACGGCCCUUACGUCCUGGGCUACACACGUGCUACAAUGGUACAGACAGAGGGCAGCCACCUGGCGACAGGGAGCG